GUCUACGGCCAUACCACCCUGAAUGUGCCCGAUCUCAUCUGAUCUCGGAAGCUAAGCAGGAUUGGGCCUGGUUAGUACUUGGAUGGGAGACCUUAUAGGCAAGGACCCGGAAACUCGGACA
Molecule: ribosomal RNA, 121 nt
Organism: Ochotona princeps (American pika)
Lineage: Eukaryota; Metazoa; Chordata; Mammalia; Lagomorpha; Ochotonidae
Source: Ensembl